UUGCACGCUGGCGGCAGGCCUAACCCCUGCCAGUCGAACGGUAACAGGAAGAAGCUUGCUUCUUUGCUGACGAGUGGCGGACGGGUGAGUAAUGUCUGGGAAACUGCCUGAUGGAGGGGGAUAACUACUGGAAACGGUAGCUAAUACCGCAUAACGUCGCAAGACCAAAGAGGGGGACCUUCGGGCCUCUUGCCAUCGGAUGUGCCCAGAUGGGAUUAGCUAGUAGGUGGGGUAACGGCUCACCUAGGCGACGAUCCCUAGCUGGUCUGAGAGGAUGACCAGCCACACUGGAACUGAGACACGGUCCAGACUCCUACGGGAGGCAGCAGUGGGGAAUAUUGCACAAUGGGCGCAAGCCUGAUGCAGCCAUGCCGCGUGUAUGAAGAAGGCCUUCGGGUUGUAAAGUACUUUCAGCGGGGAGGAAGGGAGUAAAGUUAAUACCUUUGCUCAUUGACGUUACCCGCAGAAGAAGCACCGGCUAACUCCGUG
RNAcentral lists this ribosomal RNA (489 nucleotides) under uncultured bacterium. RNAcentral's name for it is "partial 16S ribosomal RNA". It matches the Rfam family "Bacterial small subunit ribosomal RNA", at positions 30 to 507 of the family's 1533-position model. The record is from RNAcentral.